Molecule: ribosomal RNA, 305 nt
Filed under: uncultured bacterium
Lineage: Bacteria
Description: bacterial SSU rRNA
Rfam family: Bacterial small subunit ribosomal RNA
Source: RNAcentral
UUCCUACGGGGGGCAGCAGUGGGGAAUAUUGCACAAUGGGGGGAACCCUGAUGCAGCAAUGCCGCGUGGGUGAAGAAGCACUCCGGUGCGUAAAGCCCUGUCAGCAGGGAAGAAAAUGACAGUACCUGACCAAGAAGCCCCGGCUAACUACGUGCCAGCAGCCGCGGUAAUACGUAGGGAGCAAGCGUUGUCCGGAAUUACUGGGCGUAAAGGGCGCGUAGGCGGGCGCUUAAGUCAGGUGUGAAAACUCCGGGCUCAACCUGGAGACUGCACUUGAAACUGGGUGUCUUGAGGGCAGGAGAGGG